UGUGAUUUAUUUUCUAUUUAUUUGACACCGUUGGACUAGAUGACCCCCAAGGUUCUUUUCAAUUCUAAUAUCCUUUGAUAUUUAAUCUAUAGCCCCUUCUCUUUCCUUGAUAUAUCUUUCUUCUUUCUUUCCACAGUACCAGUGAAGCCUGGCCUAACUGAGAUCUGACCUGUGACCUCUUGGUACCAGGAUGGAAAGGAAAGAGUAGCUGUGAACCUUCCUUCAAACCUGGAGGCAAGUUCUUUACUUGGCUGUCUUCAUGUGCAGGACUGAGAUGCGCUGGC
This 284-nucleotide long non-coding RNA is filed under the name Phascolarctos cinereus (koala). RNAcentral's name for it is "lncRNA (ENSPCIG00000037293.1)". Lineage: Eukaryota; Metazoa; Chordata; Mammalia; Diprotodontia; Phascolarctidae. The record is from RNAcentral.